CUAUAAACCAUUUCAUCUCAUUGAAUUGAUCAUCAUGCGUGGAGUCCUCUGGCACUGUCAAACUGUUUUUGAAAAGUUUAACACUAAAUAACGGUCACUGGCCACCCACAGUCUGACUCCCACUAGAGAUGUUACAAAGCAAUAUUACACACUUACUUUUAGCUAUACCGAGUCAUAACCACAAUGGGUGGGUGCUGUGAUAAGCUGAAAGAUUAGCUGACACUUUUGGCCAAUC
This is a non-coding RNA of Pelobates cultripes (western spadefoot toad), 235 nucleotides long. The record is from the annotation of a GenBank genome assembly. Lineage: Eukaryota; Metazoa; Chordata; Amphibia; Anura; Pelobatidae.